Molecule: small nuclear RNA, 103 nt
Organism: Plodia interpunctella (Indianmeal moth)
Lineage: Eukaryota; Metazoa; Arthropoda; Insecta; Lepidoptera; Pyralidae
Source: RefSeq, a predicted model, not a curated record
AUAUCUGACUAAGUACAUAUACUAAAAUUGGAACAAUACAGAGAAGAUUAAUAUGGAUAUGCGCGAGGGUAACACGCAAAAUUGUGAAGCUUUAGAUAGAUAG